Molecule: long non-coding RNA, 2185 nt
Organism: Thunnus maccoyii (southern bluefin tuna)
Lineage: Eukaryota; Metazoa; Chordata; Actinopteri; Scombriformes; Scombridae
Exons: 2
Source: RefSeq, a predicted model, not a curated record
CCAGAGAGAUGGGAAGAAAGAGGGGAGGGGAGGAAGAAGACAACCAGAGGAGGUCAAAGACAGUCAGAUAUCACUUGGAGAUUGAACAUGCACAACCCACUCCCUGCUCUCCCUUACAAGCCUUAAACCUCUGACAUUUGAAGUUGCAGCUGCUGCCUGCGGGGGCCGACAGAGCGGACUCUGGUUCAGGACAGGGGCUCAGAGCUGGACUGGUCUGAGCUACAGGGACACUGGGGCUGCAAGCAGCAUCCUGCACAGGACCAGCUGCAGGCAGUUACAUUCCAGUAAAAUAAAGUAAGUGUUAGUGAAGCUGUUAAGCCAUGUAUGCAACUAUUUACAUGGCAUGUAACAUAAUUUAUUCUGAACAAAUAAAUCAAGCAGUGAUUGCAGGGGAUUAAACUCAUAUGAAGGGGGAGCAGCAACCUGCAGUCGGGCCUGAGAGCCAGUAGAUGGCAGCACAGGAGGACAGAGGAGAACCAGUUUAGAGACGUUGGUGGGAAGAGUGGAAAAGAAAUGAUCCACAUUUUUAUUUAUGUGGAUCCAUUAACACCACAAUGUGUGUUAAUUUUCAAACUAGACACUUCCAGUUGAAUGAUGUAGUGGAAAGACAUGUGGUAUAUUCCUGUAUAACUUUGGUAACUUUUGUUAAUUAUGUCUAUCUUUUAAGUCUAUCCUCAGUGCAACUGUUAGUAAGUUGAAUUUGCAUGAGAACGAGUAAAUCACAACAGACUUCUCUCGCCUCCGGAGGCGAAGCUAGCAAGGUGGUGUCCGCGCCUUCUCCUCUCAUGUUGGAAACAUUCAUCAUUGAGCUGGAAAAUUCCAGGAAAGCAUGACUGCGGAAGUCACCGCCUCUCUGAACGCAGCUACCAAAAUAAUUUAUUCGAAUGCUAGACAAAACAAUUUAAAGGUUUAUUUGGACCGAUAACGACCCAACAGCCGGGCCGGGCGUUGCCUAAACUUUUAUUUUAUUAUUGGGCGGCUAAUCUUCAAAAAAUUCAUGCCUGGCAACCUUGACUGGCGUAUAAUGGAGGACAAUUCUUCCCGCCCAUCAUCUCUGGCGACUUCUUGUCAUCACAAAUACAUUUGAUAUCUAGUUGUACUCUCUUCUUUGAAAAUUUGGAAACAAUUCAGGCAAUAUUUCAAACUUUCUGCCCCCACCCCAUGCAGCCCCAUUUGUAAUAACCACUUGUUUCCUCCCUCUAAUUUAGAUACAGCUUUCACUCUGUGGACAGAAAGAGGCCUGGCUCGUUUCUCAGAUUUAUAUUUAGAGGGCUCAUUUGUCACUUUUAAUGAUCUCAGCGUUAAGUAUAAUUUACCCCAGUCUCAUUUGUCCCGAUAUUUUCAAGCUCGUAAUUAUGCUCGCACAUAUUUUACAUCCUUCCCUAAGCUUCCAGUGGGUUCUCUUGUCGUUGAGGUGCUUUCUCUCCCUAAGGCACGUGGUAUGAUCUCAGAUUUGUAUGACCUCAUAUCAUCCUCGGGUGGGGCCUCUCUUGAGGGGGUUAGGGGUAACUGGGAAAAGGAGCUUGAGCUUGAGGUGACAGACGAAUGGUGGGAAGAGGCACUAAUCAGGAUCAACUCUACACCUUCAUGAGCCCGUCUAAGUUUAAUUCACUUUAAGGUCAUUUUACAAAAGUUAGGCUUAGAAGUUGUUUCCAGGUAUAAGUGAUUUUCUGGUCUUGUAUCUUUAUUAUGUUAGGUGAAGCCCUCAAUAUUAAACUAGAACCCUGCCCCAUCUUUGGAGUAACCCUUAUACCAGCCAGUCUCACAAAGAAAGUUUCUGAUGUUGUUGUUUUUGCCUCAUAGCCCAAAGACGUAUUCUGUUACAGUGGGAAAGCCAAAAUCCACCUUCUGCUACAACCUGGCUGAGUUAUUUAAUGUUUUUUCUGUUGUUAGAAAUGAUGAAAUAUUCCUGAAGAGGUUCAACUGCCGAUUUCUACAAAAGAUGGCAGCCUGUUAUCUCAUAUGUAAACACUCAUACCUCUCUGGACCCAAACUGACUCUCAAUGCAUCCAUUCUUUGAAGUAAGCACCUUGAACAUCCUUUUUAUUGUACUUCCCUCCCUAUUUUAUUUCAUUUUAUUUACUUUUUGUGUGUGUGUUAUUCAUUUUGUUUAGUUUUUUGUAUGUGUGCGUUUUCUUUUCUGUCUCCUUCUGUGAGUUUGGGAUGGUUGGGGGGUCGGAGGAAG